This 497-nucleotide ribosomal RNA is filed under the name uncultured bacterium. Its description in RNAcentral is "partial 16S ribosomal RNA". It matches the Rfam family "Bacterial small subunit ribosomal RNA", at positions 28 to 507 of the family's 1533-position model. The record is from RNAcentral.
GAUGAACGCUGGCGGCGUGCCUAAUACAUGCAAGUCGAGCGAACAGACGAGGAGCUUGCUCCUCUGACGUUAGCGGCGGACGGGUGAGUAACACGUGGAUAACCUACCUAUAAGACUGGGAUAACUUCGGGAAACCGGAGCUAAUACCGGAUAAUAUAUUGAACCGCAUGGUUCAAUAGUGAAAGACGGUUUUGCUGUCACUUAUAGAUGGAUCCGCGCCGCAUUAGCUAGUUGGUAAGGUAACGGCUUACCAAGGCGACGAUGCGUAGCCGACCUGAGAGGGUGGUCGGCCACACUGGAGCUUGGACAGGCUCCAGACUCCUGCGGGAGGCCGCAGUAUGGAAUCGUCCGCAGUGGGCGAGAGCCUGACGCAGCAACGGCGCGUGAGUUAUGAAGGUGUUCCGAUCGUGAAGCCCUGUUAUUAGGUGUGAACCAAUGUGUAAGUAACCAUGCACGUCUUGACGGUACCUGGUCAGAAAGCCCCGGCUAACUACGUG